UGGUAGCCUGGCCCAUUAACAAAAACC
This 27-nucleotide non-coding RNA is filed under the name Mus musculus (house mouse). Lineage: Eukaryota; Metazoa; Chordata; Mammalia; Rodentia; Muridae. The record is from RNAcentral.